GGUUGUGGCUCAGUGGUAGAGUGCUUGCCUAGCAUGCAUGAGGCACUGGGUUCAAUCCUCAGCACCA
This 67-nucleotide transfer RNA is filed under the name Marmota marmota marmota (Alpine marmot). It matches the Rfam family "tRNA". From Rfam's summary of the family: Transfer RNA (tRNA) molecules are approximately 80 nucleotides in length. Their secondary structure includes four short double-helical elements and three loops (D, anti-codon, and T loops). Further hydrogen bonds mediate the characteristic L-shaped molecular structure. tRNAs have two regions of fundamental functional importance: the anti-codon, which is responsible for specific mRNA codon recognition, and the 3' end, to which the tRNAs corresponding amino acid is attached (by aminoacyl-tRNA synthetases). tRNAs cope with the degeneracy of the genetic code in two manners: having more than one tRNA (with a specific anti-codon) for a particular amino acid; and 'wobble' base-pairing, i.e. permitting non-standard base-pairing at the 3rd anti-codon position. RNAcentral also lists the same sequence under 2 other names. The record is from Rfam by way of RNAcentral. Lineage: Eukaryota; Metazoa; Chordata; Mammalia; Rodentia; Sciuridae.